Long non-coding RNA from Cervus elaphus (red deer), 1146 nucleotides. RefSeq lists it as uncharacterized. NCBI's taxonomy places the organism in Eukaryota, Metazoa, Chordata, Mammalia, Artiodactyla, Cervidae. The transcript is spliced from 3 exons. The record is from RefSeq and is a predicted model, not a curated record.
AUGGGGUCGAGUUGGACACGACUGAGCAACUUUCACUUUCCUAUAUAUAUAUAUGUAUAUAUAUAUAUUGCAAUUCUCUGAAAUUUUAAAUACUUGGCCAUAGGGUAAAAAUGAGCUCUUUCCUUUUAAUGAUCUUUUCCCAUCAAUUUAGAUGUCAUAAUUUAUUAUAGUGCUAUAUUUGCCAAAUAUCUAAAUGAGUGGUUCUCAGAUUUUAGUUUGCACAAGAAUUACUGGGGAGAGUUUGUUAAAAAGGGUAUGCUCCUGGGAUCAUCUCCAAUCUCCUUUCUUCUCUUCUUUACUUACCCAAAUUAUGCUAAUCCUCAAGGUCUGUUCACAGGCAGCUUCUCUGCAAAUCCCAUUUCUCAUGGAAUCCUUUCUUGCUACCCACCGCCUCCCUCAACCCUUCAAGUCCCUUUCCCACCUGGAUUCCUAGCCUGAGCUGACAAGUGCUGCUGCUUCUUCUUGUUCCCAGAGGAGUGUGCCAGAACUCUGGAGGCACAGGAGUCACUUGUGAUCACAGGAAAUGAAAACUAUGCAGUAAGGGUGGAGAAGAGAAAGACUAAAGGAAAUGAGUCCCCGGUGGCCUUAUUUAAACACAGAAUCCAGCCUGUGUUGUCUGCUCCCAGGUGUUUUGUCUUGGCUUCUCCCUGGAGCAGCAUGAUAGCAAAGGAACAAAAAACCCAGGAUGCUGACAAAACUCAAAAUACCUUUUCUAGGACUGACAAGCUGGACCCUGAACUGGCAUCAAUACAUAGUUUGUCCUCUUCUUCCAUCAGGACUACCACCUUUGUUGAUCAUUGCUCCUGAGAGGCGAGACUGCUGACAGAGACACAACAGUGAGAAAGCUUAUGGCAGCAGAAUCCUCUGAGUCCAUCCUUCCUAAUUUCGCUCAAGCAUCCACCCCUCCACUAUACACUUAAGCAUGAGGAAAGUCUGGCUCCAUCUCCAACUCAGGUUAAUGUGUCCUGAUUCUUUUUUUAUAGCCAGCAUUUAAAAAAAUGUUUAUUUGUCUAUGCUGGGUCUUAUUUGUGGCACUCCGGAUCUUACGCUGCAGCACGUAGGAUCUAGGGUUCAAUCCCUAACCAGGGGUUGAACUCAGGCCCCUGGCAUUGGGAGUGCAGAGUCUUACUGCUGGACCACCUGGGA